Non-coding RNA from Arachis ipaensis, 364 nucleotides. NCBI's taxonomy places the organism in Eukaryota, Viridiplantae, Streptophyta, Magnoliopsida, Fabales, Fabaceae. The record is from RefSeq and is a predicted model, not a curated record.
GUUGAUAUUAGUGUUAUUCUCUCAUUGGAAACUAAGUACCAGCAGGUUUGGCAAGUGAGACUAUAACCGAUGACUGGGAUACAACAUAUGAAGAGGAUAUCAACUCUGCUGGGACCAAGAAAAGUGAUUCAAAAAGGUUAAAAUGACGUUAGAACUUUUGUGAAAAAAUGAGGUUCGACUCUGUUCCUAUAUUAAUGAUAUUCAAGGUCAGGGAUAUGGAAAGAAAGCAGGUCACUCAAUGUUCUUUCUUGAGAAUAUUUUUGUUCCACCAAUCAAAUUCCGCCCUCCCACUAAAGGAGGUGAUAUGGUAUCGGAGCAUGCUCAUACUGUUUUGUUGAGUAAGAUUCUGCAGUCUAACUAUGAG